Molecule: small RNA, 125 nt
Filed under: Marmota monax (woodchuck)
Lineage: Eukaryota; Metazoa; Chordata; Mammalia; Rodentia; Sciuridae
Source: RNAcentral
GCUGGGCACCGUGGUGCACGCCUGUCAUCCCAGCAGCUCAGGAGGCUGAGGCAGGAGGAUCACGAGUUCAAAGCCAGCCUCGGCCACAGCGAGGCCCUAAGCAACUCAGUGAGACCCUGUCUCUA